CCCUUAGAUGUCCUGGGCCGCACGCGCGCUACACUGAUGCAUUCAACGAGUCUACCUUGGCCGAGAGGCCUGGGCAACCUUUUAAACGUGCAUCGUGAUAGGGAUAGAUUAUUGCAAUUAUUAAUCUUGAACGAGGAAUUCCUAGUAAACGCAAAUCAUCAAUUUGCAUUGAUUACGUCCCUGCACUUUGUACACACCGCCCGUCGCUACUACUGAUUGGAUGUUUAAGCGAGGUUCUCGAACUGCUAGCGACUUAGCUUCGGUGAGGUCGCAGUGUGGGAAGUGAACCUAGCUUUGGUGUCUAGAGGAAGUAAAAGUCGUAACA
Molecule: ribosomal RNA, 325 nt
Filed under: uncultured eukaryote
Lineage: Eukaryota
Description: partial 18S ribosomal RNA
Rfam family: Eukaryotic small subunit ribosomal RNA
Source: RNAcentral